Molecule: non-coding RNA, 20 nt
Filed under: Arabidopsis thaliana (thale cress)
Lineage: Eukaryota; Viridiplantae; Streptophyta; Magnoliopsida; Brassicales; Brassicaceae
Also listed under: 3 other names
Source: RNAcentral
GCCAAAUGCCUCGUCAUCUA